This is a long non-coding RNA of Cervus elaphus (red deer), 763 nucleotides long. RefSeq lists it as uncharacterized. The record is from RefSeq and is a predicted model, not a curated record. NCBI's taxonomy places the organism in Eukaryota, Metazoa, Chordata, Mammalia, Artiodactyla, Cervidae. The transcript is spliced from 5 exons.
GCAAGCGGCCGGGGCUGCGCAGUCAGGGCGCUGGACUCGGGCUCCCCCUCCCCCACGGACGCAGCAGAGACAGUGGCCCCACGUGGAAAAACACCCCGGCUGGCGUGAGCCGCUGCUCGCGCCGGAAGCAAUCCGGUUUCCUCUGCAGGGGGCCGGGGCUCCAGCCGACCGCAGUUUACAGCACUCGGGCCAGAACACUGAAGUGCCACAGUGGGGUCUGGGGUCCCAGGUUGAGCCCCAAACCCCGACCGACGUCAGGGAGACAGUGGACAGGCUUCCGUCCCCCGCUGUGGCCGCGGGCUGCCGCUCCUGCCUGCGUCCCGCGCUCUCGCCCCCCGGUUCCUCCCUGCCCCUUGGAGCCAAGAGUCGCCUGCCAACCUGGUCAGAGAGCUGACCCUGGCUCUGGGUCACCGUCUGUGUCUGUGCUUCCAGCUCCAGAAAUAAUAUACAGUAGUCUGCAGUGCCUUCUUAUUAUCUGCCUUUUGAAGUGGGUGUUUUUGCACUUUAAAAAGCCUUCUUACACAUGCAGUAAAGCCCCCUCUGCAGCGCUCAGCCCUGCAGGUCUCCUUAACGUCACGUGAACGGACCUGUACAGCCCUUGGGGUCCGGAGUCUUUCCUGCAGACAAGGCGCUGGGGGCUCAUGCCCACCGGGAGGCACCUCGUGGACGGACCGCAGGGGCCAGCGCCGCGCCAGCCGGAUGACACCUAUUUUGUUUCCGGUUUGGGGCGACCGUAAAUAAAGCUGUUGUAAAGGUUCAUGCA